CUGCUCCUAGUACGAGAGGACCGGAGUGGACGCAUCACUGGUGUUCGGGUUGUCAUGCCAAUGGCACUGCCCGGUAGCUAAAUGCGGAAGAGAUAAGUGCUGAAAGCAUCUAAGUACGAAACUUGCCCCGAGAUGAGUUCUCCCUGAGACUUUAGGUCUCCUGAAGGAACGUUGAAGACGACGACGUUGAUAGGCCGGGUGUGUAAGCGCAGCGAUGCGUUGAGCUAACCGGUACUAAUGAACCGUGAGGCUUAACCUUACAACGCCGAAG
This 271-nucleotide ribosomal RNA is filed under the name Salmonella enterica. RNAcentral's name for it is "partial 23S ribosomal RNA". It matches the Rfam family "Bacterial large subunit ribosomal RNA", at positions 2672 to 2925 of the family's 2925-position model. The record is from RNAcentral. Lineage: Bacteria; Pseudomonadati; Pseudomonadota; Gammaproteobacteria; Enterobacterales; Enterobacteriaceae.